CCCAUCUCUCCCCUCACCUGGCUCUGUCUUGCUGCUUGGAUAAUCUCGGUUGUCUUGAAGAAGGUUGCAGAAAAAAUGGCACUUCCUGGAAAUUCCAGAUGUGGGAAGGGCGAAGAGGCUGGAGAACUGAAGCAGAGAGACCUCCUUUCUUCCCGGGGCGGGGGACCCAGCUCAGCUUCAAGUCCUGCCCACAUGUGCGGUGGAUUUGCUGUAAUCCCAAAUUAAUGCUCGGAGACACUCACUGAGGAUAGCCACGACAAAAAUAGGUAACGGGGUGCUCACUCUGCUCCCAGGACCUCUUCAAGCCCUUUACAUAGCUCAUCCCAUUUAAUCCUCUCCCAACAAUCCUGGCACGGUUCCUAUAAUUAUCCCUGUUUUGUGGAUGAGGAAACGGAGGCACAGAAGACUUAAGAAAUGUCCAGAGUCAC
This is a long non-coding RNA of Mustela lutreola (European mink), 428 nucleotides long. RefSeq lists it as uncharacterized. The record is from RefSeq and is a predicted model, not a curated record. NCBI's taxonomy places the organism in Eukaryota, Metazoa, Chordata, Mammalia, Carnivora, Mustelidae. The transcript is spliced from 3 exons.